AGCACUGUAGCACAGCUGGAAGUGCGCGAGGCUCAUAUUCUUCGAACCCCGAGGUCACUUGAUCGAAACAAGUCAGUGCUA
Molecule: non-coding RNA, 81 nt
Organism: Mycena sp. CBHHK59/15
Lineage: Eukaryota; Fungi; Basidiomycota; Agaricomycetes; Agaricales; Mycenaceae
Source: the annotation of a GenBank genome assembly